RNAcentral lists this ribosomal RNA (305 nucleotides) under uncultured bacterium. RNAcentral's name for it is "bacterial SSU rRNA". It matches the Rfam family "Bacterial small subunit ribosomal RNA", at positions 334 to 653 of the family's 1533-position model. The record is from RNAcentral.
UAUGCCUACGGGGGGCAGCAGUGGGGAAUAUUGGGCAAUGGGCGCAAGCCUGACCCAGCAACGCCGCGUGAAGGAAGAAGGCUUUCGGGUUGUAAACUUCUUUUGUCAGGGACGAAGCAUGUGACGGUACCUGACGAAUAAGCCACGGCUAACUACGUGCCAGCAGCCGCGGUAAUACGUAGGUGGCAAGCGUUAUCCGGAUUUAUUGGGUGUAAAGGGAGCGCAGGCGGCACGGCAAGCCUGAUGUGAAAGCCCGCGGCCCAACCGCGGGACUGCAUUGGGAACUACCGGGCUGGAGUGCCGGG